AACAGGAUUAGAUACCCUGGUAGUCCACGCCGUAAACGAUGUCGACUUGGAGGUUGUUCCCUUGAGGAGUGGCUUCCGGAGCUAACGCGUUAAGUCGACCGCCUGGGGAGUACGGCCGCAAGGUUAAAACUCAAAUGAAUUGACGGGGGCCCGCACAAGCGGUGGAGCAUGUGGUUUAAUUCGAUGCAACGCGAAGAACCUUACCUACUCUUGACAUCCAGAGAACUUAGCAGAGAUGCUUUGGUGCCUUCGGGAACUCUGAGACAGGUGCUGCAUGGCUGUCGUCAGCUCGUGUUGUGAAAUGUUGGGUUAAGUCCCGCAACGAGCGCAACCCUUAUCCUUUGUUGCCAGCGGCUCGGCCGGGAACUCAAAGGAGACUGCCAGUGAUAAACUGGAGGAAGGUGGGGAUGACGUCAAGUCAUCAUGGCCCUUACGAGUAGGGCUACACACGUGCUACAAUGGCGCAUACAAAGAGAAGCGACCUCGCGAGAGCAAGCGGACCUCAUAAAGUGCGUCGUAGUCCGGAUCGGAGUCUGCAACUCGACUCCGUGAAGUCGGAAUCGCUAGUAAUCGUAGAUCAGAAUGCUACGGUGAAUACGUUCCCGGGCCUUGUACACACCGCCCGUCACACCAUGGGAGUGGGUUGCAAAAGAAGUAGGUAGCUUAACCUUCGGGAGGGCGCUUACCACUUUGUGAUUCAUGACUGGGGUGAAGUCGUAACAAGGUAACC
This 730-nucleotide ribosomal RNA is filed under the name uncultured bacterium. RNAcentral's name for it is "bacterial SSU rRNA". It matches the Rfam family "Bacterial small subunit ribosomal RNA", at positions 771 to 1501 of the family's 1533-position model. The record is from RNAcentral.